CAUGCAAGUCGAGCGCCCCGCAAGGGGAGCGGCAGACGGGUGAGUAACGCGUGGGAAUCUACCCAGCUCUACGGAAUAGCUCCGGGAAACUGGAAUUAAUACCGUAUACGUCCGAUAGGAGAAAGAUUUAUCGGAAUUGGAUGAGCCCGCGUCGGAUUAGCUAGUUGGUGGGGUAACGGCCUACCAAGGCGACGAUCCGUAGCUGGUCUGAGAGGAUGAUCAGCCACACUGGGACUGAGACACGGCCCAGACUCCUACGGGAGGCAGCAGUGGGGAAUAUUGGACAAUGGGCGAAAGCCUGAUCCAGCCAUGCCGCGUGAGUGAUGAAGGCCUUAGGGUUGUAAAGCUCUUUCAGUGGGGAAGAUAAUGACGGUACCCACAGAAGAAGCCCCGGCUAACUUCGUGCCAGCAGCCGCGGUAAUACGAAGGGGGCUAGCGUUGUUCGGAUUUACUGGGCGUAAAGCGCACGUAGGCGGAUCGUUAAGUCGGGGGUGAAAUCCUGGAGCUCAACUCCAGAACUGCCCUCGAUACUGGCGAUCUAGAGUCCGGAAGAGGUGAGUGGAACUCCUAGUGUAGAGGUGGAAUUCGUAGAUAUUAGGAAGAACACCAGUGGCGAANGCGGCUCACUGGUCCGGUACUGACGCUGA
This 647-nucleotide ribosomal RNA is filed under the name uncultured bacterium. Its description in RNAcentral is "bacterial SSU rRNA". It matches the Rfam family "Bacterial small subunit ribosomal RNA", at positions 54 to 749 of the family's 1533-position model. The record is from RNAcentral.